This 292-nucleotide ribosomal RNA is filed under the name uncultured bacterium. RNAcentral's name for it is "partial 16S ribosomal RNA". It matches the Rfam family "Bacterial small subunit ribosomal RNA", at positions 505 to 796 of the family's 1533-position model. The record is from RNAcentral.
GUGCCAGCAGCCGCGGUAAAACGUAGGAGGCGAGCGUUAUCCGGAGUUACUGGGCGUAAAGCGCGUGUAGGUGGCUGGAUACGUCUGUUGUGAAAGCUCCCGGCUUAACCGGGAAGAUGCGGCAGAUACGGUUUGGCUGGAGGGUGACAGAGGAGCGUAGAAUUCCGGGUGUAGUGGUGAAAUGCGUAGAGAUCCGGAGGAAUACCAGUGGCGCAAGCGGCGCUCUGGGUCGCACCUGACACUGAGACGCGAAGGCAUGGGGAGCGAACGGGAUUAGAAACCCCCGUAGUCC